CUACAAGGCAGUUCAACAGAAACAGAUCCAUGCGAACCCGUAGACGACCAGCAAGAUAUCGGCAGUCAGACAAUGAAAGUGGUGCUUCAGCGAACUCGGCCGUAGUAAAUGAUCAACAAGAGCAAAACCAAAGAAGCAUGCCAGUAUUAACUUUAGCAUCGACUGAUGUUACUCGGGUUGAUAUAAAUGCUGAUACGAGGUUUGUACUCUAAAAUUAGCCAAAGUUUCAUUGCAUUUAACCUGAUUUUCUGCUGGCUAUUAGU
Priapulus caudatus is the source of this 263-nucleotide long non-coding RNA. RefSeq lists it as uncharacterized. The transcript is spliced from 3 exons. The record is from RefSeq and is a predicted model, not a curated record. Lineage: Eukaryota; Metazoa; Priapulida; Priapulimorpha; Priapulimorphida; Priapulidae.